CUUGAGAGUCCAAGAAAUCUUUCUU
Molecule: microRNA, 25 nt
Filed under: Equus caballus (horse)
Lineage: Eukaryota; Metazoa; Chordata; Mammalia; Perissodactyla; Equidae
Description: eca-miR-1804
Source: RNAcentral